CAAAACUCAAAAAAUAGAUCUCAGUUCGGACUGUAGGCUGCAACCCGCCUGCGUGAAGUUGGAAUUGCUAGUAAUCGCGGAUCAGCAUGCCGCGGUGAAUACGUUCCCGGGCCUUGUACACACCGCCCGUCAAACCAUGGGAGCCGGUAAUGCCCGAAGUCAGUAGCCUAACCGCGAGGAGGGCGCUGCCGAAGGUAGGAUUGGCGACUGGGGUUAAGUCGUAACAAGGUAGC
RNAcentral lists this ribosomal RNA (233 nucleotides) under uncultured bacterium. RNAcentral describes it as "partial 16S ribosomal RNA". It matches the Rfam family "Bacterial small subunit ribosomal RNA", at positions 1268 to 1500 of the family's 1533-position model. The record is from RNAcentral.